UACGGAGGAUGCAAGCGUUGUCCGGAUUUAUUGGGUUUAAAGGGUGCGUAGGCGGCCUAUAAAGUUCGUGGGGAAACCGUCCGGUUUAACCGGGUACCCGCCAUUGAUACUGAUAGACUUGAGUGCGACAGAGGGUGUUGGAAUGUGUGGGGUAGCGGUGAAAUGCUUAGAUAUCACGCAGAACACCAAUUGCGAAGGCAGAUGCCUAUGUCGUAACUGACGCUGAGGCACGAAAGCGUGGGGAGCAAACAGG
Molecule: ribosomal RNA, 253 nt
Filed under: uncultured bacterium
Lineage: Bacteria
Description: partial 16S ribosomal RNA
Rfam family: Bacterial small subunit ribosomal RNA
Source: RNAcentral